UUCCCUCCUUUCUACAACAUGUAAGUGUGCAAGAUUAAUCGUUGCCAAAAUCACAAAGAUACAAUAUAAUAUAGACAUGAUGUUGCUAUAGUGAACUACAGAUUCUAUUAUAAACCUGCUAACAUUGUAUUCGUUCUUUAUAUAUCUGGUUUUCUUGGAAUUAAAUUUAAUUUAGGAUCUUUAUUAGUUUAUGGGAUAAUUUUAUUUCUUUUACUUUUAAGUUCUAAUAUUCUUGGGGAUAAGCUCAGGGUUAAUUAUAUAAGUUUUAGAUUUUGUUGGGAAUUUUGUAGGCUUGAAAUCAGCCAUCAGUUAUUUCGUUAUAGAUUAUUUUCUUUUAUGAUUUAUUUAUUUGGCUUUAUUUGUUUACUUGAAUGAUUGAUUUAAUUUGUGAUUUAUUGUAAUAAUGAUUGAAUUAGUAUCUUAGUUAAUUAAGUCAUAGGAACUCGGCAAGUUCAAUGCCCGCCUGUUUAACAAAAACAUGUCCUUUU
This 488-nucleotide small RNA is filed under the name Triatoma infestans. RNAcentral describes it as "putative mitochondrial 16s rRNA". Lineage: Eukaryota; Metazoa; Arthropoda; Insecta; Hemiptera; Reduviidae. The record is from RNAcentral.